RNAcentral lists this ribosomal RNA (245 nucleotides) under uncultured bacterium. Its description in RNAcentral is "partial 16S ribosomal RNA". It matches the Rfam family "Bacterial small subunit ribosomal RNA", at positions 524 to 768 of the family's 1533-position model. The record is from RNAcentral.
UACGAAGGGGGCUAGCGUUGUUCGGAGUUACUGGGCGUAAAGGGCGCGUAGGCGGCCGCCCAAGUCAGGUGUGAAAGCCCGCGGCUCAACCGCGGAGGUGCACUUGAGACUGGGUGGCUUGAGGACGGGAGAGGAUGGUGGAAUUCCCAGUGUAGAGGUGAAAUUCGUAGAUAUUGGGAAGAACACCGGUGGCGAAGGCGGCCAUCUGGACCGUUUCUGACGCUGAGGCGCGAAAGCGUGGGGAG